RNAcentral lists this ribosomal RNA (786 nucleotides) under Heterocapsa steinii. RNAcentral's name for it is "partial large subunit ribosomal RNA". It matches the Rfam family "Eukaryotic large subunit ribosomal RNA", at positions 1 to 672 of the family's 3401-position model. The record is from RNAcentral. Lineage: Eukaryota; Dinophyceae; Peridiniales; Heterocapsaceae.
NNNNNNNNNNNNNNNNNNNNNNNNNNNNNNNNNUAAGCAUAUAAGUAAGCGGAGGAUAAGAAACUAAAUAGGAUUCCCUCAGUAAUGGCGAAUGAACAGGGAUAAGCUCAGCAUGGAAAUCGGUGUCUCUGGCAUUGAAUUGUAGUCUCGAGUUGUACUGCCAACGGAGGCGCAGAUGUAAGCCUCUUGGAAAAGAGCAUCAACGAGGGUGAGAGUCCCGUUUGUCAUCUGCAGUCCCCCGUGCACGGUGUACUUCUAAAGAGUCACGUUCCUCGGAAAUGGAGCGCAAAGUGGGUGGUAAAUUUCAUCUAAAGCUAAAUAUAGGUUCGAGACCGAUAGCAAACAAGUACCAUGAGGGAAAGGUGAAAAGGACUUUGAAAAGAGAGUUAAAAGUGCCUGAAAUUGCUGAAAGGGAAGCGAAUGGAACCAGUGCUUCUUGGCAAGAUUGGUGCGUGCUAAUGUGAUUGCCUGCUGCUUCAGCGCAAGCGUGGUAGUGGGUUUUGAUCAGGACGUGCGUGUUGUUUCUUGCCUUGUGUGUCAACGUCAGUUCUCGAUCGAGGAAAACGCCAGGGACAUGGUAGCUCGUCUUCGGGUGAGUGAAUGUGCUUGGUUGAACUCAUUUGUGAACUGGUUCUUGCGUGUCUGGUUGCAGUGCAUUGUGUCUUCACACCCCUGGGGUGGGUUUCGAUCUUCCGCAGGUGGGGUGGGCGACCGGUGCAUCUCCCUGACACAUCGACGCUGACUAAAUGGUUCUAUUCGACCCGUCUUGAAACACGGGACCAAAGG